Long non-coding RNA from Saimiri boliviensis boliviensis (Bolivian squirrel monkey), 652 nucleotides. RefSeq lists it as uncharacterized. NCBI's taxonomy places the organism in Eukaryota, Metazoa, Chordata, Mammalia, Primates, Cebidae. The record is from RefSeq and is a predicted model, not a curated record.
GUAAGGAAGGAGGUGGUAGCAAAGAAACCUUUAGGUUGAAAAGACAAAAAAAAAACAAAAGAACCCACCAUGGAAGUUUCAACCCACCACCACCACAUGGUGCCAAAGACUUCAAAACGGAACAUUUCUUAUAUUGGCACCUAUUUUUGUGAGAACAAACAUAUGGUUGUGAGCAUAUUCUUACCUUCAUUGUGAUCUGCAUAUUUCCUCUCUGCAGGAAACUUUAAAUGCACUGUUGACAUCUUUUUAUAGUCACAUAAAAAGAAAGCAGACAAAGAAAUGUUAUGAUUGGACUUAUUCAUGAGAUAUCACAGACUCUAAUUGAUCAAACUUCUCAUAUUCGCACUACUGGUGAAUCUCUAGUUGCACACCCACCUCUGUGGUCUCAUUGUUGGCUGCUUAGGAUAGCUUACAAAUAAAAACAGACAAUACUGUCCAUUAGCCAGCACAGGCUCACAACUCAAUUUCUACUCCAUUCCAAAGGAACCAUGUAGAGAAAGAUGGAUGGUUCAGGGUUUGGAGUUCUCCAGCUAACCACGUAUUAACUUUGUUAUCACCACCCAUAUUAUCACCUGGCAGAGAAACAGACUUGAUGGAUUUGGGCUUUAGUUCUGACUUCACCACAAGUAAAUAAUGUCAUUUUGGAUGCUAA